GACGUAGGGCGCGAGCGUUGUCCGGAUUUAUUGGGCGUAAAGAGCGUGUAGGCGGCCAGGUAGGUCCGUUGUGAAAACUGGAGGCUUAACCUCCAGCGGUCGAUGGAAACCAUCUGGCUAGAGUCCGGAAGAGGAGAGUGGAAUUCCUGGUGUAGCGGUGAAAUGCGCAGAUAUCAGGAAGAACACCCGUGGCGAAGGCGGCUCUCUGGGACGGUACUGACGCUGAGACGCGAAAGCGUGGGGAGCGAACAGG
Molecule: ribosomal RNA, 253 nt
Filed under: uncultured bacterium
Lineage: Bacteria
Description: partial 16S ribosomal RNA
Rfam family: Bacterial small subunit ribosomal RNA
Source: RNAcentral